UAAUGGCAGGUACAGCGGGAAGGCCAUGCGGCGACGCAGAGCAGAACCCGAAAAACCUGUCUCAGUUCGGAUUGGAGUCUGCAACCCGACCUCCAUGAAGCUGGAUUCGCUAGUAAUCGCGCAACAGCCACGGCGCGGUGAAUACGUUCCCGGGCCUUGUACACACCGCCCGUCAAGCCAUGGAAGCCGGGGAGUGCCUGAAGUACGCGACCGCAAGGAGCGUCCUAAGGUAAAAACCGGUGACUGGGGCUAAGUCGUAACAAGGUAAC
Molecule: ribosomal RNA, 269 nt
Filed under: uncultured bacterium
Lineage: Bacteria
Description: partial 16S ribosomal RNA
Rfam family: Bacterial small subunit ribosomal RNA
Source: RNAcentral